GAACUGCUGAGGAGUCCUACAAUAGGACGAAAUGGGUGUCCAGUGC
RNAcentral lists this non-coding RNA (46 nucleotides) under Schistosoma mansoni. The record is from RNAcentral. Lineage: Eukaryota; Metazoa; Platyhelminthes; Trematoda; Strigeidida; Schistosomatidae.